AUGAAGGCUCUGGCGAUCGAUCCAGAGCUUGAGAAGCUGAUUGCAGAGGCGAGGAAGGAGUCUGCGAUGGCUGGGGAGCGGGAGAGGAUAAAGAUGCUGGCGGAUGCGGCACAAGGGAGGAGCAACGCCAUGGAUCCGGAGGAGGUGAGGAGGAAAACAGUUGAAGCGGAGGAGAUGAAGCAGCUCAAGACUUUGAAGAGGAAGGACGCACAAGUGGCGGCAAAGAAGCUGGAAGCAUCGGAAAUGUUCGACGAAAAGAGAGCCAAGUCGGUGGUGGGAGCAAAGGCGGUGAAAGCAAAGGAGGACACGCACAUUGACGAUAGCUACGAUGAGGCCUCUAUGUAUCGCCAUGGAUGGGAGGAGCUGUGGGCUGCGCUCAUCCCCUCGAUGCGUUACAUGGAUAAACCACCUGCUUCUGAACUCUCCGUCUGCUCCUACAUGCAUACUCUGAACGUCUUUUCAGUUAAACUUGCUGGAAUAGAUGAUUCUCUACGGUGGCCAUUGUAUGUGUUCGGUGUCGUUGCCGCCCGCAACUAUUUGGAUCACAAUCACAAUAUAAUAUUUCUUCGGGACAGGGAUAACUGCCAAAUCAUCCACCAGAAGGAUCCAUAUCUAGAACUAACAGGUCCUACACGUGGUGUUGUGGUGGUGGAUCCUACGGAGUUCGAGGUUAAAUUGAAAGUUAAGGGCUCUACUGAAUCUGAGGAUAGGGAUUUAAGCUUUCUCAUUACACGGUACAAUUGUUACGACUCGGAGAAUCGUUCACGCGUGAUUAAUAGAGUUAUGACUAGCCUGCUUAGUACACUGGAGCUGACAUUUGGCCACAUUGUUCGCUCAGUGGAGGCCACGAUAAGUGUGAGAUUCAUAGGUGGGACAUGGCCAGAUGGUUUCCGAGGUGUAUUUACCGCAAGUACCGCCAGCAUACAUCACAUGAAGGUCACGUUGCUUGCUUAUCGAGAUGGUAAAUUACGUGUUGAUUCCUGUGGCAUGAUCGCGCUUUCACGAGACGUUGCUUGCGUUGAACUUGAUGGAAAGCUGAAAGUUUCUGUCGUGGCGCGAGGUGAAGACAAGGAAGCUGUUGAAGAGAGUGCUGAUAUGGUUUUCACGCCUAAGAAAGCUGGUAGAAGCUGUGGUAUCAUGAAGAUUGGGUCAUGCGCGAUGGAAGUCACUGUGGCCUGGACAACAAUGGAUUCGGUGUGGAAUGAUUGCUAUGGCGACAAUCAUCUUGACAAAUUCAAUGAGUUCAUCGUGUUGUCAGAUUUGGACGAUAAGGAGGCCAAAAUGAUGAUGAUGAUGAGCAUCCAUGAGGAGUUCGCGAAGGCAGAGGCAGGGGCGGAGCCAGGUCGGCAGCUAGCCCCGGGCCGCCUUAGAGCAAUGUCCUAG
RNAcentral lists this ribosomal RNA (1383 nucleotides) under Triticum aestivum (bread wheat). RNAcentral describes it as "partial small subunit ribosomal RNA". The record is from RNAcentral. Lineage: Eukaryota; Viridiplantae; Streptophyta; Magnoliopsida; Poales; Poaceae.